This 62-nucleotide transfer RNA is filed under the name Scolytinae sp. BMNH 1043104. Its description in RNAcentral is "tRNA-Ile". The record is from RNAcentral. Lineage: Eukaryota; Metazoa; Arthropoda; Insecta; Coleoptera; Curculionidae.
AAUAAAGUGCCUGAUAAAAGGGUUACCUUGAUAGGGUAAAAAAUGUGAGUUCACCUUUAUUA